This is a non-coding RNA of Schistosoma curassoni, 45 nucleotides long. Lineage: Eukaryota; Metazoa; Platyhelminthes; Trematoda; Strigeidida; Schistosomatidae. The record is from Rfam.
AUCCAGCUGACGAGUCCCAAAUAGGACGAAGCAUACUUCCUAGAU